This 525-nucleotide ribosomal RNA is filed under the name uncultured bacterium. Its description in RNAcentral is "bacterial SSU rRNA". It matches the Rfam family "Bacterial small subunit ribosomal RNA", at positions 8 to 526 of the family's 1533-position model. The record is from RNAcentral.
AGAGUUUGAUCCUGGCUCAGGAUAAACGCUGGCGGCGUGCAUGAGACAUGCAAGUCGAACGGACGACUCGGGCUUGCUCGGGUCGUUAGUGGCGGACGGCUGAGUAACGCGUAGGUGACCUGUCCCGAAGUGGGGAAUAACUGCCCGAAAGGGUGGCUAAUACCGCAUAUGUUCGUGCGUUCGUUUGUACGUACAAAGCCGUAAGGCGCUUCGGGAGGGGCCUGCGUCCGAUUAGCUCGUUGGUGGGGUAACGGCUCACCAAGGCUUCGAUCAGUAUCCGGCCUGAGAGGGCGGACGGACACACUGGGACUGAGACACGGCCCAGACUCCUACGGGAGGCAGCAGUGGGGAAUUGUUCGCAAUGGGCGCAAGCCUGACGACGCAACGCCGCGUGGAGGAUGAAGAUCUUCGGGUCGUAAACUCCUUUCGAUCGAGACGAACGGCUUCCGGGUGAACAAUCCGGGAGAGUGACGGUACCGAGAGAAGAAGCCCCGGCUAACUCCGUGCCAGCAGCCGCGGUAAUUC